Molecule: ribosomal RNA, 2587 nt
Filed under: Stenotaenia sorrentina
Lineage: Eukaryota; Metazoa; Arthropoda; Chilopoda; Geophilomorpha; Geophilidae
Description: partial 28S ribosomal RNA
Rfam family: Eukaryotic large subunit ribosomal RNA
Source: RNAcentral
GAGUGAAAAGGGAAAAGCCCAGCGCCGAAGCCGCCGCCCAGCAAUAGGGGCGGAGGGCAAUGUGGCGUUAAGGAAGAGCCUCUUUGACCAGACGUUUCGUUGAUCGAACCGCGGAAGCCCGAGUCCCCCUGACCGGGGCCACGGCCCAUGGCGGGUGCAAGGCCUCUUCGGCUUCGUUCGACGGUUCGGAGGUUGCUGGCUCCUUUCCUCAGAGUCGGGUUGCUUGAAAGUGCAGCUCUAAGUGGGUGGUAAACUCCACCUAAGGCUAAAUAUUACCAUGAGACCGAUAGCGAACAAGUACCGUGAGGGAAAGUUGCAAAGAACUUUGAAGAGAGAGUUCAAGAGUACGUGAAACCGCUCGGAGGCAAACGGGUGAGCCCUCGAAGGUCGAACGGGGGGAUUCAGCCAGUCGACUUGUUUUAAAAACUCCGCCGCAAGUCUAAAAAGGGCACUCCGGUGUCCGAAACGGACCCCUCUCGCAGGGGCCGGGCUUGCGGUCAAAAAUGCGAAGUGAGUCGGCUGGUGCACUUCCCCCUCAGUAGGACGCCGCGACCGGUCGGGUUCUUUAAAGUUUUGCGGCCAUCAGGCGAGAGAAUCGGGGCAGGUGUCCGUUUCCGCGUUUAGUCCGGCGUUGUCUUUUUUCCCUUCGCGGGGAAGAUCGCUUCACGGGCGACCGCGCGGUCGGAGUUACAGCCCCAUCUCGACCCGUGCACCGCCACCCGACCGACAAAUGGUCACGAAUCCGUUGACGCGUGCCCGCGUAAAAAAACUUAAUGCGCUCGCCCUAGUCCUGGGCAGGCCGGACGCGCGAGUACAAAGUUCCUUUUUCUCCCGGAAACGGGGAGGGAAUCCGUCGGACGCCGGUACCAAAAACCACAAAGGCGACCGACGGCUCCGCGUCUGCCNNNNNNNNNNNNNNNNNNNNNNNNNNNNNNNNNNNNNNNNNNNNNNNNNNNNNNNNNNNNNNNNNNNNNNNNNNNNNNNNNNNNNNNNNNNNNNNACCAAGGAGUCUAACUCGUGCGCAAGUCGUAGGGUCGGCUCGAAACGAACCUAAACCCGAAGGCGAAAUGAAAGUGAAGGCCGUUCCGAUCCUUUCUCCUCUUUCUCUCUCGUCGCCGCGCGGAGGGUAGCGCUCUCUCUCUGUAACAGGAGGGGGAAGUGUUGUCAGCCGCGCGCCGCGUCGCAGCAGAGAGGAGGGGCUCGAAGGUGAGGAAAUUUUUAAAACGGUCGGAGGCGAGAUCCGGAAUCGACGACCAAAAGUCGAAACCGGCGCAUCGCCGGCCCGUCUCGACCGCUGCUUCGGCGCUUUGCUGCCUUCUCCGGAACCAAGGGCGAAGCGGAACGGGAGGGGGGUGGCAACAUCUCUCUCUCUUUCGUUCUCUCCCGUUGGCGACGGGUCGGCAGACGCAGGAGAAACUAGUCGGCGAGGCGGAGCAAGAGCGCACACGUUGGGACCCGAAAGAUGGUGAACUAUGCCCGGGCAGGACGAAGCCAGAGGAAACUCUGGUGGAGGUCCGUAGCGAUUCUGACGUGCAAAUCGAUCGUCGGACCUGGGUAUAGGGGCGAAAGACUAAUCGAACCGUCUAGUAGCUGGUUCCCUCCGAAGUUUCCCUCAGGAUAGCUGGCACUCGGAAACAAAACAGUCUCAUCCGGUAAAGCGAAUGAUUAGAGGCAUUGGGGCCGAAACGGCCUCAACCUAUUCUCAAACUUUCAAUGGGUGAGAUGUCCGGCUUACUUAAAUAGUGAAGUCCGCGACAUUGGAUGCGAGUGCCCAGUGGGCCACUUUUGGUAAGCAGAACUGGCGCUGUGGGAUGAACCAAAAGCCGGGUUACGGCGCCCGAUGCGGACGCUCAUCAGACCCCAUGAAAGGUGUUGGUUGCUAUAGACAGCAGGACGGUGGCCAUGGAAGUCGGAAUCCGCUAAGGAGUGUGUAACAACUCACCUGCCGAAGCAACUAGCCCUGAAAAUGGAUGGCGCUCCAGCGUCGAGCCUAACCCCGGCCGCCGGCAGGCAAAGAAAGGCACUCCCCCUUAAGCAAGGGGAGACUAACAGACGAAGCCCCGGCGAGUAGGAGGGUCGCGGUGGUGUGCGUUGAAGGGACCAGGCGCGAGCCUACCUGGAGCCGCCACCGGUGCAGAUCUUGGUGGUAGUAGCAAAUACUCGAGUGAGAACCUUGAGGACUGAAGUGGAGAAGGGUUCCAUGUGAACAGCAGUUGAACAUGGGUCAGUCGGCCCUAAGGAAUAGGGGAAACCCGUUCCGAAGGAAACCGGAAUCAAUUAAAAAAAAUUGACCGGUAAAUUCCGAAAGGGAAUCGGGUUAAUAUUCCCGAACCCGGAUGCGGAGAUCGACCCUCGCGGGUCUGAAGCGGUAACGCGUAACGAACUCGGAGAAUGCCGGCGGGGGCCCCGGGAAGAGUUUUCUUUUCUUUGUAAAGGACGUACUCCCUGGAAUCGGCUCGCCCGGAGAGAGGGAUGUUGUUCCUGUAAAGCACCGCGGCUCUUGCGGUGUCCGGAGCGCUCUCGCCGGCCCUUGAAAAUCCGAGGGAGUGAACAAUGAUUUCCGCACCGGACCGUACCCAUAUCCGCA